This 844-nucleotide ribosomal RNA is filed under the name Rhizophagus irregularis. RNAcentral describes it as "eukaryotic LSU rRNA". It matches the Rfam family "Eukaryotic large subunit ribosomal RNA", at positions 1 to 695 of the family's 3401-position model. The record is from RNAcentral. Lineage: Eukaryota; Fungi; Glomeromycota; Glomeromycetes; Glomerales; Glomeraceae.
GACCUCAAAUCAGGUAGGAACACCCGCUGAACUUAAGCAUAUCAAUAAGCGGAGGAAAAGAAAAUAACAAUGAUUCCCCUAGUAACUGCGAGUGAAGAGGGACAAGCUCAAAUUUUAAAUCCAUCGGGUUUUACCCGAUCGAGUUGUAAUUUGAAGAAGCGUUUUCUGCGUAUUUGAUCAGCCUAAGUCCUAUUGAAUGAGGCAUCAUGGAGGGUGAUAAUCCCGUCCGGUUGAUCAUUUGCGUUUUACGAUACGCUUUCUAAGAGUCAAGUUGUUUGGGAUUGCAGCUUAAAAUGGGAGGUAAAUUUCUCCUAAGGCUAAAUAACGGCGAGAGACCGAUAGCGAACAAGUACCGUGAGGGAAAGAUGAAAAGAACUUUGAAAAGAGAGUUAAACAGUACGUGAAAUUGUUGAAAGGGAAACGAUUGAAGCCAGUCGAACCUUCGGGUAAUCAGCCUUUCGGGUGCGAUUCUGUGGGGUUUGAGGAGCUUAACACCUUCAUGCUUUGCAUAUUCGUGCUCUUGGGUGUACUUGCCCGUAUGGUUGGUUAACAUCAAUUUUGGUGGUCAUAAAAUGACUGGAGGAAUGUAGCUUCGAUCUCGUAUUGAAGUGUUAUAGCCUUCGGUAGAUGUGAUGAUCGAGAUUGAGGAUUGCAACGGAUACCCUUCGGGGCUACCUGUCUGAUCUCUGAUCGUUGCUCUGGUGCCGAAAGCUUGCUUACGGUUAUCAAAGUCGAUGGUCAAUAGGUUAGAACGGGUUAAAUUCGUUAAGGAUGUUGACGUAAUGGCUUUAAACGACCCGUCUUGAAACACGGACCAAGGAGUCUAACAUAUAUGCGAGUGUUU